Molecule: unclassified non-coding RNA, 244 nt
Filed under: Glomus sp.
Lineage: Eukaryota; Fungi; Glomeromycota; Glomeromycetes; Glomerales; Glomeraceae
Description: partial contains 5.8S ribosomal RNA and internal transcribed spacer 2
Rfam family: 5.8S ribosomal RNA (bases 1-65)
Source: RNAcentral
GUGAAUCAUCAAAUUUUUGAACGCAAACUGCACUCUCUUCGGAGAGUAUGCCUGUUUGAGGGUCAGCCUAAAAAAAAAAAUCGACAUAGUUGCUGUUUCUCGGUGACAUUCGUCGGAAAUUUGGUCAUCUUAAACCUUUUGGUUUUAAGUGGCUUAAAAUUUUCUUUACGAUUCCCCGAACGUUUCUAAAAUUUACUUCUUAAACGUUUAAGGUAAUUGAUCUUUCUUAGACCAGGCCGUCGCA